ACAGCUUCUCUCGUCAAUGCAACUCAGAUAAGGUUUCUAGACAUCACCGGAACAGUGCCUCCUGAGAUUGGAAUGCUCUGCCCAGAAGUCCUCAAUUUUGAGAGUAAUCAGCUAAUGGCAGCCACUGCUCAGGACUGGGAGUUUAUGACAUUCCUCACAAACUGCACACGCCUCAGGAACCUUUGCAUCCAGGCCAACGCGCUAGGUGGCGUGCUGCCAAGCUCAGUUGGCAACCUAUCAGCACAUCUCCAACAGUUUAUUUUUGGAUUUAAUGAAAUUUCUGGCAAAUUACCAUUUGGCAUAAGCAAUCUUGUCGGACUAAAUGUGUUGGACUUCCCUCACAACCAAUUUACUGAUGUCUUGCCUGACAGCAUUGGAAGGCUAAAUUUGCUUCAGCAAUUGUAUUUCAAUAAUAAUCAGUUUUCAGGAUCCUUGCCAUCCUCCCUCGGGAACUUGACACGGCUGCUAGUUCUUUCAGCCGGCAGCAAUAAGUUUAAGGGGGGCCUUCCAACAGGCCUAGGGAACCUCCAGGAGAUAACUGAAGCGGACUUUUCAAACAAUAAGUUUUCAGGUCCAUUACCAAAAGAGAUCUUUAACCUAUCAACCCUGUCAAAUACACUGGAUUUGUCAAACAAUUUUUUGGUUGGUUCUCUUCCACCUCAAGUUGGCAAUCUGACAAAGCUUACAUACCUGUAUGUAUCCCUGAACAACUUAUCAGGACCGCUUCCUAAUACACUUAGCAAAUGCCAAAGCUUGAUAGAGCUCAAGUUGGACCGCAACUACUUCAAUAGUACCAUUCCCUCGUCUAUCAGCAAAAUGCAGGGCUUGACAUUUCUAAAUCUUUCCAAGAAUACACUCUCUGGUGUGGUUCCUCAAGAGUUAGGACUCAUGGACGGUAUUCAAGAAUUGUAUCUUGCACACAACUACUUGUCUGGUCAUAUCCCUGAAAGCUUGCAAAACAUGGCAUCAUUGUAUCAGUUAGACCUGUCCUUCAAUACUCUGGAUGGCAAAGUUCCAUCGCAGGGUGUGUUCAGUAAUGUGACUGGAUUUUUGUUUGAAGGGAAUUCGAGGCUUUGUGGUGGUAACUCAGAAUUACAGUUGCCCCCAUGCCCGCCGCCAGAAUCAAUGGAACACAAGAAGAAACGCCAUUUCAUUAUCGCAAUAGCUAUCCCAAUUGUUGGCGCAAUUCUAUGCUUGAGUGCGAUGCUUGUGUUCUUCACAAGGAGAAAGGAAACAAAAGCUCAAUCCACAUCCACAAGUGGAUUCCAAUUGAUGGGUGACAAUUAUCCAAGAGUUACUUGUGUUGAACUGGCCCAGGGAACAGGUGGCUUUGCCACAGCCAAUUUGAUUGGUAGAGGAAUGCAUGGAUCAGUGUAUAAGUGUCGUUUAUUGCUGAACAAUAUGAUGACCACAGUAGCGGUGAAGGUUUUUGAUCUCCAACAGACUGGUUGUUCCAAAAGCUUUUUAGCUGAGUGUGAGGCACUUAGUAAGGUUCGCCAUCGUUAUUUGAUCAGUGUCAUAACUUGCUGCUCAAGCUCUGACUCAAGCCAAAACGACUUCAAAGCUCUUAUGUUCGAGUUCAUGCCCAAUGGGAACCUGGACAGCUGGUUACAUCCGGAUGUACAUGAUGCAUCACAGCAACUGCAAGGAUUGACAUUGAUUCAGAGAUUAAAUAUUGCAGUCGGUAUUGCUGAUGCACUAGAUUAUUUGCACAACAACUGUGAACCGCCAAUAGUUCACUGCGACCUGAAGCCAAGCAACAUUCUUCUCAACGAGGAUUUAGUUGCUCAUGUUGGAGACUUUGGCCUUGCAAAGAUUAUUUCCGAACCAGCAGCCGAGCAACUGAUUAACUCAAAGAGCUCGACUGGAAUAAGAGGAACAAUUGGUUACGUCGCUCCAGAAUAUGGCGAAGGUGGUCAAGUUUCUUCACGUGGGGACGUAUACAGCUUUGGGAGUGUCGUCCUCGAGUUGUUUAUAGGCAAGGCACCUACUCAUGACAUGUUCAGAGACGGGUUGACCCUGCAAAAACAUGCCAAGGAUGCAUUUCCAGGGAUGCUGAUGCAGAUCGUCGAUCCAGUCCUACUGUCCAUUGAAGAAGCUAGUGCGAGUAGUUUGCUGGAUGGAAGCAACCCAAUGGAACAUACCAGCAAUGCCAUAUCCUCUGUCAUAGAGGUUGCCCUGUCAUGCAGCAAGCAUGCACCCACCGAGAGAAUGUGCAUAGGAGAUGCAGCUGCUGCGAUCCAUAGGAUAAGGGAUAGCUAUGUUAGAAUAACACAAAAAUGA
RNAcentral lists this ribosomal RNA (2283 nucleotides) under Triticum aestivum (bread wheat). RNAcentral's name for it is "partial small subunit ribosomal RNA". The record is from RNAcentral. Lineage: Eukaryota; Viridiplantae; Streptophyta; Magnoliopsida; Poales; Poaceae.